GCUGUUUAUAAACUGGAAAUAAUGAUACAUGUCCUGACUCCUAUUGGGUUGUUGCAAAGGAAUCAAUUGAAAUAAGACAAGACUUUCUGAAGGCACUUUGCCAACUUUCAGAACUGUAAAGAUUAAGGGACUGCUACUAUGUGCUGCUCAGGAAAUAACAGGCACCUGGGAAAACCCACGAAGUAAGGUUUUGUAAGAAGUUGCUCUGCUCCCUGGGAGAAAACGCGGAGCUCAACACUGCCAAGAGGAACAAGUCUGGGAAAUUACGACAUGAGUCUGUAACUUUAAAUGUCUUCCUGGAGCAAAGCAGGAAUGGCUGCUUUGGAUUUCAAAUGAGCACUCAAACAAUUUUAUCUGGCCCA
This 362-nucleotide long non-coding RNA is filed under the name Homo sapiens (human). Its description in RNAcentral is "HSALNT0336410". Lineage: Eukaryota; Metazoa; Chordata; Mammalia; Primates; Hominidae. The record is from RNAcentral.